GGAGCGGUGCCUCAAUUGGUACAGGACCCGGUUGGAAACCGGACAUGUCGUGUCAAUCCACGCUUUGAGGGUUCAAGUCCCUCUCGUUCCG
Molecule: transfer RNA, 91 nt
Filed under: Clostridium sp. AF34-10BH
Lineage: Bacteria; Bacillati; Bacillota; Clostridia; Eubacteriales; Clostridiaceae
Description: tRNA-Ser
Rfam family: tRNA
About the family: Transfer RNA (tRNA) molecules are approximately 80 nucleotides in length. Their secondary structure includes four short double-helical elements and three loops (D, anti-codon, and T loops).
Source: RNAcentral